UACGUAGGGGGCGAGCGUUGUCCGGAUUUAUUGGGCGUAAAGAGCUCGUAGGCGGUUUGGCAAGUCAGAUGUGAAAUCUCCAGGCUCAACCUGGAGGGGUCAUUCGAGACUGCUAUGACUAGAGUUCGGUAGAGGAGUGUGGAAUUCCUGGUGGAGCGGUGAAAUGCGCAGAUAUCAGGAGGAACACCCGUAGCGAAGGCGGCACUCUGGGCCGAUACUGACGCUGAGGAGCGAAAGCGUGGGGAGCGAACAGG
Molecule: ribosomal RNA, 254 nt
Filed under: uncultured bacterium
Lineage: Bacteria
Description: partial 16S ribosomal RNA
Rfam family: Bacterial small subunit ribosomal RNA
Source: RNAcentral